UACAGAGGUCUCAAGCGUUGUUCGGAUUCACUGGGCGUAAAGGGUGCGUAGGUGGUGGGGUAAGUCUGGUGUGAAAGCUCCGAGCUCAACUCGGAAAUGGCAUCGGAAACUACUCCGCUAGAGGUCUGGAGGGGGGACUGGAAUUCUCGGUGUAGCAGUGAAAUGCGUAGAUAUCGAGAGGAACACCAGUGGCGAAGGCGAGUCCCUGGACAGAUCCUGACACUGAGGCACGAAAGCUAGGGGAGCAAACAGG
RNAcentral lists this unclassified non-coding RNA (253 nucleotides) under uncultured Verrucomicrobiota bacterium. RNAcentral describes it as "uncultured Verrucomicrobia bacterium contains 16S-23S intergenic spacer region". It matches the Rfam family "Bacterial small subunit ribosomal RNA", at positions 524 to 776 of the family's 1533-position model. The record is from RNAcentral. Lineage: Bacteria; Pseudomonadati; Verrucomicrobiota.